GGCCCCUCUCGGGUUACCGAAUUCAGACAAACUCCGAAUGCCAAUUAAUUUAACUUGGGAGUCAGAACAUGGGUGAUAAGGUCCGUGUUCGAAAGGGAAACAGCCCAGACCACCAGCUAAGGUCCCAAAAUAUAUGUUAAGUGGAAAAGGAUGUGGCGUUGCCCAGACAACUAGGAUGUUGGCUUAGAAGCAGCCAUCAUUUAAAGAGUGCGUAAUAGCUCACUAGUCGAGUGACACUGCGCCGAAAAUGUACCGGGGCUAAACAUAUUACCGAAGCUGUGGAUUGUCCUUUGGACAAUGGUAGGAGAGCGUUCUAAGGGCGUUGAAGCAUGAUCGUAAGGACAUGUGGAGCGCUUAGAAGUGAGAAUGCCGGUGUGAGUAGCGAAAGACGGGUGAGAAUCCCGUCCACCGAUUGACUAAGGUUUCCAGAGGAAGGCUCGUCCGCUCUGGGUUAGUCGGGUCCUAAGCUGAGGCCGACAGGCGUAGGCGAUGGAUAACAGGUUGAUAUUCCUGUACCACCUAUAAUCGUUUUAAUCGAUGGGGGGACGCAGUAGGAUAGGCGAAGCGUGCGAUUGGAUUGCACGUCUAAGCAGUAAGGCUGAGUAUUAGGCAAAUCCGGUACUCGUUAAGGCUGAGCUGUGAUGGGGAGAAGACAUUGUGUCUUCGAGUCGUUGAUUUCACACUGCCGAGAAAAGCCUCUAGAUAGAAAAUAGGUGCCCGUACCGCAAACCGACACAGGUAGUCAAGAUGAGAAUUCUAAGGUGAGCGAGCGAACUCUCGUUAAGGAACUCGGCAAAAUGACCCCGUAACUUCGGGAGAAGGGGUGCUCUUUAGGGUUAACGCCCAGAAGAGCCGCAGUGAAUAGGCCCAAGCGACUGUUUAUCAAAAACACAGGUCUCUGCUAAACCGUAAGGUGAUGUAUAGGGGCUGACGCCUGCCCGGUGCUGGAAGGUUAAGAGGAGUGGUUAGCUUCUGCGAAGCUACGAAUCGAAGCCCCAGUAAACGGCGGCCGUAACUAUAACGGUCCUAAGGUAGCGAAAUUCCUUGUCGGGUAAGUUCCGACCCGCACGAAAGGCGUAACGAUUUGGGCACUGUCUCAACGAGAGACUCGGUGAAAUCAUAGUACCUGUGAAGAUGCAGGUUACCCGCGACAGGACGGAAAGACCCCGUGGAGCUUUACUGUAGCCUGAUAUUGAAAUUCGGCACAGCUUGUACAGGAUAGGUAGGAGCCUUUGAAACGUGAGCGCUAGCUUACGUGGAGGCGCUGGUGGG
This 1272-nucleotide ribosomal RNA is filed under the name Staphylococcus aureus. RNAcentral's name for it is "partial 23S ribosomal RNA". It matches the Rfam family "Bacterial large subunit ribosomal RNA", at positions 923 to 2196 of the family's 2925-position model. Lineage: Bacteria; Bacillati; Bacillota; Bacilli; Caryophanales; Staphylococcaceae. The record is from RNAcentral.